AAGACUAUAUUUUCAUGGAUCAUUUCUAUAGUUCUUUACUUGGAAAUGUGUUUCUAAAGUGUCUGUCUACCAACCCACGACGAUGAGCUGUGAUGUCCCUUUCUGAGAAUGAAUUAAAGAUUGAGCUGUGAUUUUUGUUAUAAACUCCGUCAUUGAUGAGUGUUCUCUUUUGCUUUUGGCAAUAUAGAUAAAAGGGGUAUGAUCUGAGUGGU
RNAcentral lists this small nucleolar RNA (212 nucleotides) under Sinocyclocheilus grahami. RNAcentral describes it as "Small nucleolar RNA U3 (ENSSGRG00000008543.1)". It matches the Rfam family "Small nucleolar RNA U3". Rfam says of the family: Small nucleolar RNAs (snoRNAs) are involved in the processing and modification of rRNA in the nucleolus. There are two main classes of snoRNAs: the box C/D class, and the box H/ACA class. The record is from Rfam by way of RNAcentral. Lineage: Eukaryota; Metazoa; Chordata; Actinopteri; Cypriniformes; Cyprinidae.